GACGAACGCUGGCGGCGUGCUUAACACAUGCAAGUCGAGCGGUAAGGCCCUUUCGGGGGUACACGAGCGGCGAACGGGUGAGUAACACGUGGGUGACCUGCCCUCAGCUCUGGGAUAAGCCUGGGAAACCGGGUCUAAUACUGGAUAUGACUCCAUGACGCAUGUUGUGGGGUGGAAAGCCUUGUGCGGCUGAGGAUGGGCCCGCGGCCUAUCAGCUUGUUGGUGGGGUGANGGCCUACCAAGGCGACGACGGGGUAG
Molecule: ribosomal RNA, 258 nt
Filed under: uncultured bacterium
Lineage: Bacteria
Description: partial 16S ribosomal RNA
Rfam family: Bacterial small subunit ribosomal RNA
Source: RNAcentral